RNAcentral lists this ribosomal RNA (301 nucleotides) under uncultured bacterium. RNAcentral's name for it is "partial 16S ribosomal RNA". It matches the Rfam family "Bacterial small subunit ribosomal RNA", at positions 509 to 807 of the family's 1533-position model. The record is from RNAcentral.
CAGUCGCCGCGGGAAUACGGAGGGGGCUAGCGUUGUUCGGAAUUACUGGGCGUAAAGCGCACGUAGGCGGCUUGGUAAGUUAGAGGUGAAAGCCUGGAGCUCAACUCCAGAAUUGCCUUUAAGACUGCCGAGCUAGCAGGUGAGAGAGGUAAGUGGAAUUCCGAGUGUAGAGGUGAAAUUCGUAGAUAUUCGGAAGAACACCAGUGGCGAAGGCGGCUUACUGGCUCAUACUGGACGCUGAGGUGCGAAAGCGUGGGGAGCAAACAGGAUUAGAGACCCCGGUAGUCCCUGUCUCUUAUAC